RNAcentral lists this long non-coding RNA (257 nucleotides) under Hordeum vulgare. RNAcentral describes it as "long non-coding RNA (HVUL_LNC011022)". Lineage: Eukaryota; Viridiplantae; Streptophyta; Magnoliopsida; Poales; Poaceae. The record is from RNAcentral.
CUGGAGGAGUGGGGAGCACUCGAGGAGGAGCCGGUGCCGGUGGACGGGCCGCCGCCGCCGCCGAUGCCGAUGGAGAGGGCGGUGGAGCCGUCGGAGCGGUCGCGUGCGUCCUGCUGGAUCUCCUCGAGGAGGAGGCGCGAGCGGGCCUCGUUGAAGGAGGGGAAGGGGGUCUGCAUGGGCAGAACCGUGGCGAUCACCUGAUAGCGGCGGGAGAGGCCGCGGAGCAGCUGUAGCGUCAGGGUCCGAUCCUUGACGGG